UAGAGUUUGAUCCUGGCUCAGAUUGAACGCUGGCGGCAGGCCUAACACAUGCAAGUCGAGCGGAAACGAGUUGUUUGAACCUUCGGGGGACGACAACGGCGUCGAGCGGCGGACGGGUGAGUAAUGCCUGGGAAAUUGCCCUGAUGUGGGGGAUAACCAUUGGAAACGAUGGCUAAUACCGCAUGAUAGCUUCGGCUCAAAGAGGGGGACCUUCGGGCCUCUCGCGUCAGGAUAUGCCCAGGUGGGAUUAGCUAGUUGGUGAGGUAAGGGCUCACCAAGGCGACGAUCCCUAGCUGGUCUGAGAGGAUGAUCAGCCACACUGGAACUGAGACACGGUCCAGACUCCUACGGGAGGCAGCAGUGGGGAAUAUUGCACAAUGGGCGCAAGCCUGAUGCAGCCAUGCCGCGUGUAUGAAGAAGGCCUUCGGGUUGUAAAGUACUCUCAGCAGUGAGGAAGACGGUGUGUUUAAUACGUACAUCAUUUGACGUUAGCUGCAGAAGAAGCACCGGCUAACUCCGUGCCAGCAGCCGCGGUAAUACGGAGGGUGCGAGCGUUAAUCGGAAUUACUGGGCGUAAAGCGCAUGCAGGUGGUUUGUUAAGUCAGAUGUGAAAGCCCGGGGCUCAACCUCGGAAUAGCAUUUGAAACUGGCAGACUAGAGUACUGUAGAGGGGGGUAGAAUUUCA
Molecule: ribosomal RNA, 685 nt
Filed under: uncultured Vibrionaceae bacterium
Lineage: Bacteria; Pseudomonadati; Pseudomonadota; Gammaproteobacteria; Vibrionales; Vibrionaceae
Description: bacterial SSU rRNA
Rfam family: Bacterial small subunit ribosomal RNA
Source: RNAcentral